RNAcentral lists this unclassified non-coding RNA (2213 nucleotides) under Helicoverpa zea (corn earworm). Its description in RNAcentral is "sH3 domain-binding protein 5-like, transcript variant X2". The record is from RNAcentral. Lineage: Eukaryota; Metazoa; Arthropoda; Insecta; Lepidoptera; Noctuidae.
AAGAACCAAAGUUAUUUGAUAUUACUUUUAUUAUUUUUGUUUUCAGCAAUGUUAAUGUUUAUUUUACAUAAGAACAAACUUGAAAACAGGGCAAAGGGUUCUGUUAUGUUUGUCUGUUGUUAAAAUGCCUUUUGUUUGAGGAAACAAUGAACGACAGCGCUGCCGAUUGCUCGGAAGCUUUAGAUCCUCGAGUUCAGAUAGAGUUGGAACGUCUAAACACAGCCACUGACGAGAUAAACAGACUCGAGGUUGAGUUGGACGAGGCUCGGCUGGCGUUCCGGAGACUGCUUGCUGAAGGUCACUUACGUAUACAGCAGCUCACCAAGAAGUUGGGCACCAGUGUGCACAAAGCCCGGCCUUAUUAUGAAGCUAGAUUUCGAGCGAAUAUUACUUCCCAAGACCUGCAAGCUGCAACCAUCGCGUAUGACAAAGCGAACAGUGCUCAUGCAGCAGCCAGGGAGAUGGUGUAUCUUGCUGAGCAGGGCUUGGCCAGACUUGCAGAAGGCAAUACGGGCCUUACCCUCGACCCGGCCUGGCAGGAGAUGCUUAACCAUGCCACGCAUAGAGUUAAUCAGGCGGAGAGCGACCGCGCUCAGGCGACGGUGACGCAGCGCUCGAGGGCGGCCGCGCACCGCGCCGCCACCGCGCUCGUGCAGCAACUGCAGAACGGACUCAAGAGGCACAUCGCUAAAUCUAGACCCUACUUUGAAGAAAAAGCUCGUAUCAACACAGCUUUGGAAGCUCAGAAGGCAAGGAUACAGACCUUGGAGGAGCAGGUAGCGGAAGCUAAACAGCAGUACUCGUCAGCUCUCAGGAAUCUAGAGAGGAUCUCUGAUGAAAUACAUAAGCAUAGGUCUAGAAGACAGUCGGCUAGAAACGAAAUAGACCGUUCAACACUAACGGACACGGCCAGCGAUACAAACACGACCAGUAGUGACAAACUGGAAGAGCUAUGCGAGAGUAGCACGGACGCCAGUGUGCGCGAGUGGCUGCGCCGGGCCGCCGACGCGCAGCGGCCCCGGGGCCCUGACACAGACACCUGGACAGAGAUAGACCUGGAUUAUUCCAGUCCUGAAGAGGUGAGUUUCGAGAAGUGUUCCCUCCGCGGCCGCGACACUUCGGAAGCGUGGUCCCCGCCGUCGCCGGGCUCGUCGCGGGCGUCGGCCGCCGAGCCGCGCCGCAUCAUCCCGCGCCAGCCGCGCCCGCCGCGCCGCCAGAGCCUCGACGCGCUGCUGCACGACACCCAGGAGAAGGUCAAGGAGAUGUUCCAAGGUCAGUGCACAUGUUCAUCCCGCGCCAGCCGCGCCCGCCGCGCCGCCAGAGCCUCGACGCGCUGCUGCACGACACCCAGGAGAAGGUCAAGGAGAUGUUCCAAGGUCAGUGCACAUGUUCAUCCCGCGCCAGCCGCGCCCGCCGCGCCGCCAGAGCCUCGACGCGCUGCUGCACGACACCCAGGAGAAGGUCAAGGAGAUGUUCCAAGGUCAGUGCACAUGUUCAUCCCGCGCCAGCCGCGCCCGCCGCGCCGCCAGAGCCUCGACGCGCUGCUGCACGACACCCAGGAGAAGGUCAAGGAGAUGUUCCAAGGGUUAUCACUGUUCGGUGAACGUCGCGGGUCGGCGUCUGCCCCCCGCACCCCGCGCCGGGCGCCCUCGCCCCGCGCUGCGUCACACGCCAGCGACGAGCGAUACUCCGACACUGAUAGCCGCGCCAGCGUGGAGAUGCUAACAGACGAGCAGAUAGCGUCCCUCAUGCUGGACGCCCAACUAGAAGCCGUCUGCGAGCGUCUAGCGGGGGUCGUCCGUCAGCCACGCUCCCCACACUCGCCGCCCCACCGGUACUGAUGUGUAUGUCUGUUUAUACCUAGCUGUAUGUAACGUGCAGAGCGUCCGUCAUGCUGGACGCUCGUCUAGCGGGGGUCGUCCGUCAGCCACGCUCCCCACACUCGCCGCCCCACCGGUACUGAUGUGUAUGUCUGUUUAUACCUAGCUGUAUGUAACGUGCAGAGCGUCCGUCAUGCUGGACGCUCGUCUAGCGGGGGUCGUCCGUCAGCCACGCUCCCCACACUCGCCGCCCCACCGGUACUGAUGUGUCAUCGGUCCAGUGAAAAAUAAUAAUAGUUAAUACCAUUAAUAAUCACAUUUCUGUUGAAAACUUGCGCUUAAUUGAAACUAAAGUACAUCGAUGAAUGCAUUCCGUUAAACAAACAUUGUGGC